This 300-nucleotide unclassified non-coding RNA is filed under the name uncultured Chytridiomycota. Its description in RNAcentral is "sequence contains 5.8S rRNA gene, ITS2". The stretch from base 1 to 67 matches the Rfam family "5.8S ribosomal RNA", at positions 84 to 154 of the family's 154-position model. Lineage: Eukaryota; Fungi; Chytridiomycota. The record is from RNAcentral.
GUGAAUCAUCGAAUCUUUGAACGCACAUUGCACUCUAUUCACGUAGAGUAUGCCUGUUUGAGAAUCUAUAGUAUUCUUUUUUUAAAUUACCUUCCACUUGCAAAAGUGGUAUAGUAAUUUGAAAAGUUUUGUAGAAUCCAUUUCAUUAUGGUUCUAUUAAAUCUAUAGCUUAGUUUACUUUAGAAAAUGAUGACUUUUCUAUAAAAACUUUGUCGAAAAGUAUUUGAAUGAACUUUCAGUUCUCCCUAUACUAAUUACGCAAAGAGAGAAUAGUUUUCUAUAGUGAAUUGAGUUCAUAAC